UACGUAGGGUGCAAGCGUUAAUCGGAAUUACUGGGCGUAAAGCGUGCGCAGGCGGUGAUGUAAGACAGAUGUGAAAUCCCCGGGCUCAACCUGGGAACUGCAUUUGUGACUGCAUCGCUGGAGCGCGGCAGAGGGGGAUGGAAUUCCGCGUGUAGCAGUGAAAUGCGUAGAUAUGCGGAGGAACACCGAUGGCGAAGGCAAUCCCCUGGGCCUGCACUGACGCUCAUGCACGAAAGCGUGGGGAGCAAAAGGG
This 253-nucleotide ribosomal RNA is filed under the name uncultured bacterium. Its description in RNAcentral is "partial 16S ribosomal RNA". It matches the Rfam family "Bacterial small subunit ribosomal RNA", at positions 524 to 776 of the family's 1533-position model. The record is from RNAcentral.